This 73-nucleotide transfer RNA is filed under the name Bidens frondosa. Its description in RNAcentral is "tRNA-Ala". The record is from RNAcentral. Lineage: Eukaryota; Viridiplantae; Streptophyta; Magnoliopsida; Asterales; Asteraceae.
CGUAGGAACUACGAGAUUAACCCAAGGACGCCUUCGGCGGCGGAUGUCAGCGGUUCGAGUCCGCUUAUCUCCA